CGGUGAGGGGUCUGGGAGGAAGCGGGCUCAGGAGCUGCGGUGGGGAGGCUCAGGAAGCAGAUGGGGCUUGAUGGAGAGUCAGUCAGCUGUCAGGGGAGCCACAGUGCCAGCCACAGUAAGGAUUAUCUUCUUUGUGGAUCCGGGUCUGCCUCUUCCCUGGUUGACUCCCUCCUUUUAGCAGAACACUCCCUGUUGUAGCAUCCUGAGACGGGAAAGAUGGAAAGCAAAUGUGGAAGAAAUCUGUGUUUUAAAAACGCCCUUAGAGCCUCUGAUAGAUUGUGAUUUGGCUGGACAUAAACUCUACAUUGCAAAUCA
This is a long non-coding RNA of Felis catus (domestic cat), 315 nucleotides long. RefSeq lists it as uncharacterized. The record is from RefSeq and is a predicted model, not a curated record. Lineage: Eukaryota; Metazoa; Chordata; Mammalia; Carnivora; Felidae. The transcript has 2 exons.